Molecule: ribosomal RNA, 309 nt
Filed under: uncultured bacterium
Lineage: Bacteria
Description: partial 16S ribosomal RNA
Rfam family: Bacterial small subunit ribosomal RNA
Source: RNAcentral
AGAGACAGCAGCAGCCACGGGAAUACGAAGGGUGCAAGCGUUAAUCGGAAUUACUGGGCGUAAAGCGUGCGUAGGCGGCUUUUUAAGUCGGAUGUGAAAUCCCUGAGCUUAACUUAGGAAUUGCAUUCGAUACUGGGAAGCUAGAGUAUGGGAGAGGAUGGUAGAAUUCCAGGUGUAGCGGUGAAAUGCGUAGAGAUCUGGAGGAAUACCGAUGGCGAAGGCAGCCAUCUGGCCUAAUACUGACGCUGAGGUACGAAAGCAUGGGGAGCAAACAGGAUUAGAUACCCGCGUAGUCCCUGUCUCUUAUAA